This 1972-nucleotide ribosomal RNA is filed under the name human gut metagenome. RNAcentral describes it as "bacterial LSU rRNA". It matches the Rfam family "Bacterial large subunit ribosomal RNA", at positions 3 to 1984 of the family's 2925-position model. The record is from RNAcentral.
UCAAGUAAGUAAGGGCGUACGGCGGAUGCCUUGGCCAUAUCAGCCGAAGAAGGACGCGAUAAGCUGCGAUAAGCUGCGGUGAGGUGCAAGUAACCUUUGACCCGCAGAUUUCCGAAUGGGGAAACCCGGCAGCAGUAGUGCUGUCAUCCUCUAUGAGGAAGGGCACCCGGUGAACUGAAACAUCUAAGUAGCCGGAGGAAAAGGAAUCAACAGAGAUACCCCUAGUAGCGGCGAGCGAACGGGGCAGAGCCCAAACCGGGAUGGGAAACCAAUCCGGGGUUGUGGACUGCUAUCAAAUGCAUGAGUGAAGCAGAAUGAGCUGGGAAGCUCAGCCAGAGAGAGUGAGAGCCUCGUAGGCGUAAGCGAAUGCAUGGAGCAGGAUCCGGAGUACCACGGGACACGAGAAACCCUGUGGGAAGCUGGGGGGACCACCCUCCAAGGCGAAACACUGAUAUGGACCGAUAGCGCAUAGUACCGUGAGGGAAAGGUGAAAAGAACCCCGGGAGGGGAAUGAAAGAGAACCUGAAACCGUAUGUCUACAAGCAGUCGAAGACCUUUAUAUGGUCGACGGCGUGCCUAUUGAAGAAUGAACCGGCGAGUUACUUCAGCUAGCGAGGUUAAGCAGAAAAUGCGGAGCCGCAGCGAAAGCGAGUCUGAACAGGGCGUAUAGUUAGUUGGAGUAGACCCGAAACCACAGUGAUCUACCCAUGUCCAGGUUGAAGCACAGGUAAAAAUGUGUGGAGGACCGAACCAGUGAGCGUUGAAAAGCUUUUGGAUGAGAUGUGGGUAGGGGUGAAAUGCCAAUCGAACGUGGAGAUAGCUGGUUCUCCCCGAAAUAGCUUUAGGGCUAGCCUCAUGGCGAGAGUACAGGCGGUAGAGCACUGAACGGGGUAGGGGCCUAUCCGGCUACUGAACCUAAUCAAACUGCGAAUGGCUGUACUUAUCCAUGGGAGUCAGACUGUGAGUAAUAAGGCCCAUAGUCAAGAGGGAAACAGCCCAGACCAACAGCUAAGGUCCCCAAUGCCGUACUAAGUGGCGAAGGAUGUGGAAUUUCGAAAACAACCAGGAUGUUGGCUCAGAAGCAGCCACCAUUAAAAGAGUGCGUAAUAGCUCACUGGUCGAGAGACUCUGCGCCGAAGAUGUCCGGGGCUAAAGUACGGAACCGAAGCUUUGGCAAUUAACAUAAGUUAAUUGGGUAGGGGAGCGUUCCUGCAUGGGAGAAGCCUGACCGGAAGGACAGGUGGACAGGCAGGAAGAGAGAAUGCCGGUAUGAGUAGCGAAAAGAAGGGUGAGAAUCCCUUCCACCGAAAGCCUAAGGGUUCCUGGGCAACGAUCGUCGUCCCAGGGUAAGUCGGGACCUAAUCCGAGGCGGAGACGCGUAGGAGAUGGACAACAGGUUGAAAUUCCUGUACUGGCUGAGGCCGUUUGAGCGAAGGAGUGACACAGGAAGGAAGGCGCGCGUGCGAUUGGAAGAGCACGUCCAAGCAGGUAGGUCGGGAGACAGGCAAAUCCGUUUCCCAUAAGGCCGAGAUGCGAUGGGGAGCUUCUGGAGACAGAAGCGAAGGGGCUGGCACUAAACUGUCGAGAAAAGCUUCUAGUGAGGACUCAGGCACCCGUACCGAAACCGACACAGGUAGGCAGGAUGAGAAUUCUAAGGUGCGCGGGAAAACCCUCGUUAAGGAACUCGGCAAAAUAUAUCCGUAACUUCGGGAAAAGGAUAACCCAGCGUACGUGAAGUGCAGAAGCGCAUGGAGCGGAGAUGGGUGGCAGAAGAGAGGCCCAAGCGACUGUUUACCACAAACACAGGCGUCUGCUAAAGCGAAAGCUGAUGUAUAGAUGCUGACACCUGCCCGGUGCUGGAAGGUUAAGAGGAAGUGUUAGCGCAAGCGAAGCAGUGAAUUGAAGCCCCAGUAAACGGCGGCCGUAACUAUAACGGUCCUAAGGUAGCGAAAUUCCUUGUCGGGUAAGUUCC